UACGGAGGAUGCGAGCGUUAUCCGGAUUUAUUGGGUUUAAAGGGUGCGUAGGCGGAAUAUCAAGUCAGCGGUAAAAAUUCGGGGCUCAACCCCGUCGUGCCGUUGAAACUGAUGUCCUUGAGUGGGCGAGAAGUAUGCGGAAUGCGUGGUGUAGCGGUGAAAUGCAUAGAUAUCACGCAGAACUCCGAUUGCGAAGGCAGCAUACCGGCGCCCAACUGACGCUGAAGCACGAAAGCGUGGGUAUCGAACAGG
RNAcentral lists this ribosomal RNA (252 nucleotides) under uncultured bacterium. Its description in RNAcentral is "partial 16S ribosomal RNA". It matches the Rfam family "Bacterial small subunit ribosomal RNA", at positions 524 to 776 of the family's 1533-position model. The record is from RNAcentral.